RNAcentral lists this ribosomal RNA (256 nucleotides) under uncultured bacterium. RNAcentral describes it as "partial 16S ribosomal RNA". It matches the Rfam family "Bacterial small subunit ribosomal RNA", at positions 524 to 774 of the family's 1533-position model. The record is from RNAcentral.
UACGUAGGGACCGAGCGUUGUCCGGAAUCAUUGGGCGUAAAGAGCGUGUAGGCGGCUCGCUAAGUCUUGCGUGAAAUCUCGGGGGCUCAACCCCCGAGCGGUCGUGAGAAACUGGCGGGCUAGAGUGCGGGAGAGGAGAGUUGGAAUUCCUGGUGUAGCGGUGAAAUGCGCAGAUAUCAGGAAGAACACCCGUGGCGAAGGCGGCUCUCUGGAACGCAACUGACGCUGAGACGCGAAAAGCGUGGGGGAGCAAAAC